CAGCAGCCACGGGAAUACGAAGGGGGCUAGCGUUGUUCGGAUUUACUGGGCGUAAAGCGCACGUAGGCGGACUUUUAAGUCAGGGGUGAAAUCCCGGGGCUCAACCCCGGAACUGCCUUUGAUACUGGAAGUCUUGAGUAUGGUAGAGGUGAGUGGAAUUCCGAGUGUAGAGGUGAAAUUCGUAGAUAUUCGGAGGAACACCAGUGGCGAAGGCGGCUCACUGGACCAUUACUGACGCUGAGGUGCGAAAGCGUGGGGAGCAAACAGGAUUAGAUACCCGAGUAGUCCCUGUCUCUUAUAC
This 301-nucleotide ribosomal RNA is filed under the name uncultured bacterium. RNAcentral describes it as "partial 16S ribosomal RNA". It matches the Rfam family "Bacterial small subunit ribosomal RNA", at positions 509 to 807 of the family's 1533-position model. The record is from RNAcentral.